RNAcentral lists this long non-coding RNA (1026 nucleotides) under Oncorhynchus kisutch (coho salmon). RNAcentral's name for it is "lncRNA (ENSOKIG00005028361.1)". Lineage: Eukaryota; Metazoa; Chordata; Actinopteri; Salmoniformes; Salmonidae. The record is from RNAcentral.
CGUCCUGACCAUAGAGAGUCCUUAUUUUCUAUGGUGGAGUAGGUCAGGGCGUGACUGGGGGGUUAGUCUAGUUUAUUAUUUCUAUAUGGGGUUCUAGUUUUGUUUUUCUAUGUGGUGAUUUUGUAUGAUUCCCAAUUAGAGGCAGCUGGUAAUCGUUGUCUCUAAUUGGGGAUCAUAUUUAGGUAGCAUUUUUUCCACCUGUGGGUUGUGGGAUAUUGUUUAUGUGUAGUUGCAUGUUAGCACUCCGUUGUCGUCAUGUAUCGUUUAUUCUUUAUUGUUUUGUUGUGUGGUUCACUUACUUUAAAAGAUGUGGAACCCAGAUCACGCUGCACGUUGGUCCGAGUAUGCUUCUAACGAUCGUCACACAUCCCCACAACAUGAUGCUGCCACCUCCGUGCUUCACGGUUGGGAUGGUGUUCUUGCAAGCCUCCCCUUUUUCCUCCAAACAUAACGAUGGUCAUUAUGGCCAAACAGUUAUAUUUUUGUUUUAUCAGACCAGAGGACAUUUCUCCAAAAGGUAUGAUCUCCAUCCCCAUGUGCAGUUGCAAACCAUAGUCUGGCUUUUUUUAUGUUGGUUUUGGAGCAGUGGCUUCUUCCUUGCUGAGCGGCCUUUCAGGUUAUGUCGAUAUAGGACUCGUUUUACUGUGGAUAUAGAUACUUUUGUACCUGUUUCCUCCAGCAUCUUCACAAGGUGCUUUGCUGUUGUUCUGGGAUUGAUUUGCACUUUUCGCACCAAAGUACAUUCAUCUCUAGGAGACAGAACGCGUCUCCUUCUUGAUCGGUAUGACGGCUGCGUGGUCCCAUGUUGUUUAUACUUGCGUACUAUUGUUUGUACAGAUGAACGUGGUACCUUCAGGCUUUUGGAAAUUGCUCCCAAGGAUGAACCAGACUUGUGGAGGUCUACAAAAAAAAUUCUGAGGUCCUGGCUGAUUUCUUUUGAUUUUCCAAUGAUGUCAAGUAAAGAGGCACUGAGUUUGAAGGUAGGCCUUGAAAUACAUCCACAGAUACACCUCCAAUUGACUCAAA